CCUACGGGUGGCAGCAGUAGGGAAUAUUGCUCAAUGGGGGAAACCCUGAAGCAGCAACGCCGCGUGGAGGAUGAAGGUUUUCGGAUUGUAAACUCCUUUUGUUAGAGAAGAGAAUGACGGGAACUAACGAAGAAGCACCGGCGAACUCCGUGCCAGCAGCCGCGGUAAUACGGAGGGGGCAAGCGUUACUCGGAAUCACUGGGCGUAAAGAGCGCGUAGGCGGGAUAGCAAGUCAGAUGUGAAAUCCUAUGGCUUAACCAUAGAACUGCAUUUGAAACUUUUAUUCUAGAGUAUGGGAGCGGUAGGUGUAAUUCUUGGUGUAGCGGUCCAAUCCGUA
RNAcentral lists this ribosomal RNA (337 nucleotides) under uncultured bacterium. Its description in RNAcentral is "partial 16S ribosomal RNA". It matches the Rfam family "Bacterial small subunit ribosomal RNA", at positions 338 to 692 of the family's 1533-position model. The record is from RNAcentral.